Callithrix jacchus (white-tufted-ear marmoset) is the source of this 132-nucleotide small nuclear RNA. Its record names the gene U4. It matches the Rfam family "U4 spliceosomal RNA". From Rfam's summary of the family: U4 small nuclear RNA (U4 snRNA) is a component of the major U2-dependent spliceosome. The structure of U4 snRNA from yeast and human has been reported. The record is from Ensembl. Lineage: Eukaryota; Metazoa; Chordata; Mammalia; Primates; Cebidae.
AGCUUUGUGCAGUGGCAGUACUGUAGCCAAUGAGGUUUAUCCGAGGUGCUAAUUGAAAACUUUUCCCAAUGCCCUGCCAUGACGACCUGAAAUAUAGCUGGCAUUGGCAAUUUUUGGCAGUCUCUACAGGGA